Molecule: ribosomal RNA, 503 nt
Filed under: uncultured bacterium
Lineage: Bacteria
Description: bacterial SSU rRNA
Rfam family: Bacterial small subunit ribosomal RNA
Source: RNAcentral
AUUGAACGCUGGCGGCAUGCCUUACACAUGCAAGUCGAACGGCAGCACGGGGGCAACCCUGGUGGCGAGUGGCGAACGGGUGAGUAAUACAUCGGAAUGUACCCAGUAGCGGGGGAUAACUACUCGAAAGAGUUGCUAAUACCGCAUACGCCCUAAGGGGGAAAGAGGGGGAUCGCAAGACCUCUCACUAUUGGAGCAGCCGAUGUCAGAUUAGCUUGUUGGUGAGGUAAAAGCUCACCAAGGCGACGAUCUGUACCUGGUCUGAGAGGACGACCAGGCACACUGGGACUGAGACACGGCCCAGACUCCUACGGGAGGCAGCAGUGGGGAAUUUUGGACAAUGGGGGCAACCCUGAUCCAGCAAUGCCGCGUGAGUGAAGAAGGCCUUCGGGUUGUAAGGCUCUUUUGUCAGGGAAGAAACGGUGACCACUAAUACUGGUUACUAAUGACGGUACCUGAAGAAUAAGCACCGGCUAACUACGUGCCAGCCGCCGCAGUAACAC